This 439-nucleotide ribosomal RNA is filed under the name uncultured bacterium. RNAcentral describes it as "partial 16S ribosomal RNA". It matches the Rfam family "Bacterial small subunit ribosomal RNA", at positions 339 to 795 of the family's 1533-position model. The record is from RNAcentral.
CUACGGGACGCUCCAGUGGGGAAUAUUGCACAAUGGAGGAAACUCUGAUGCAGCAACGCCGCGUGGAGGAUGACACUUUUCGGAGCGUAAACUCCUUUUAUAUAGGAAGAAGAUGACGGUACUAUAUGAAUAAGCGCCGGCUAACUCCGUGCCAGCAGCCGCGGUAGUACGGAGGGCGCAAGCGUUACUCGGAAUCACUGGGCGUAAGGAGCGUGUAGGCGGAUUAAAAAGUCAGAAGUGAAAUCCUAUAGCUUAACUAUAGAACUGCUUCUGAAACUCUUAAUCUAGAAUAUGGGAGAGGUAGAUGGAAUUUCUGGUGUAGGGGUAAAAUCCGUAGAGAUCAGAAGGAAUACCGAUUGCGAAGGCGAUCUACUAGAACAUUAUUGACGCUGAGACGCGAAAGCGUGGGGAGCAAACAGGAUUAGAUACCCCAGUAGUC